RNAcentral lists this long non-coding RNA (734 nucleotides) under Lepisosteus oculatus (spotted gar). Its description in RNAcentral is "lncRNA (ENSLOCG00000021012.1)". Lineage: Eukaryota; Metazoa; Chordata; Actinopteri; Semionotiformes; Lepisosteidae. The record is from RNAcentral.
CGAGAGCAGGAGGAGAUCGGGGACAGACAGAUCGUGAUGGACACACGCUUCCCUGUGAAGUCACUGCAGAGAUAAAGGAAGAAACGGACACGGAACCGGAGCUGUCAGACACGACAUUGUCUGAGCAGACUGGAGGAGGGGACCCCGACUCCGGACGCCACCCCCGCAGAGGAGCAGCCCUCGAGCACAUCCAGGGUCACCCAGUCCUGGCCGGCAUCCUGGACCCAGAGGAGUUUGACACCCGUAGUGCUGGCGGCAGGAGCCUCUCCGCGGUGUCGCUGCAGGAGCAGACGGGCUACUACAGGCUGAAGAUGAGGAAGGUGGAGCUGGGGAUUGAACUCCUGGAGACCCAGCUGGACGCGAGUGUGGACAUCGCACCGAGGUGACUGAGUGAGAAGUGGUUUGGGGGGGGACGGACUCCUUUUGUACCCCAACAUAGGAAUCAUGGACACAAUAAAGAUGUUUCUUUUCAAUCGAUUGGGCUAUGGGCUUAUUUCCAAACAGUGUGGUGUGAAUCACUAUGUUGUUCUCUUUCAUAAAAAAAAGUAUUGAGCCAGGUCAAAAUCUUUUGUACCACAUUUUCCCCCCCAUCAUGGGAGUUGUUACAUCCCUGAGCUGCACACUGGUGGCAGAGUGGGAUCCCCAUGACCUGUAAAGAGCUGCACACUGGUGGCGGUGGUGGGAUCCCUAUGAACCGGAAAGAGCUGCACACUGGUGGCGGUAUUAGGAUCCCC